RNAcentral lists this ribosomal RNA (293 nucleotides) under uncultured bacterium. RNAcentral describes it as "partial 16S ribosomal RNA". It matches the Rfam family "Bacterial small subunit ribosomal RNA", at positions 29 to 307 of the family's 1533-position model. The record is from RNAcentral.
AACGAACGCUGGCGGCGUGCCUAACACAUGCAAGUCGUGCGAGAAAGUUCCUUCGGGAGCGAGUAAAGCGGCGCACGGGUGAGUAACACGUAGGUAACCUGCCCCCCAGUCUGGAACAACUAGAGGAAACUCUAGCUAAUGCCGGAUGAGACCACGAUCCCUUCGGGGGUUGCGGCCAAGAUGGCCUCUACUUGUAAGCUAUCGCUGAGGGAUGGGCCUGCGGGCCAUUAGCUUGUUGGUGAGGUAACGGCUCACCAAGCUGUGAUGGCUAGCUGGUCUGAGAGGAUGACCAG